GAUGAAGAACGUAGCGAAAUGCGAUAAGUAAUGUGAAUUGCAGAAUUCAGUGAAUCAUCGAGUCUUUGAACGCACAUUGCGCCCCCUGGUAUUCCGGGGGGCAUGCCUGUCCGAGCGUCAUUGCUGCCCUCAAGCACGGCUUGUGUGUUGGGCCCCCGUCCCCGGUUUCCCCCGGGGACGGGCCCGAAAGGCAGCGGCGGCACCGCGUCCGGUCCUCGAGCGUAUGGGGCUUUGUCACCCGCUCUGUAGGCCCGGCCGGCGCCAGCCGACACCCAACUUUAUUUCUAAGGUUGACCUCGGAUCAGGUAGGGAUACCCGCUGAACUUAAGCAUAUCAAUAACGGAGGA
This 347-nucleotide unclassified non-coding RNA is filed under the name soil metagenome. RNAcentral's name for it is "partial contains 5.8S ribosomal RNA, internal transcribed spacer 2, and large subunit ribosomal RNA". The stretch from base 1 to 120 matches the Rfam family "5.8S ribosomal RNA", at positions 35 to 154 of the family's 154-position model. The record is from RNAcentral.